Molecule: ribosomal RNA, 492 nt
Filed under: uncultured bacterium
Lineage: Bacteria
Description: partial 16S ribosomal RNA
Rfam family: Bacterial small subunit ribosomal RNA
Source: RNAcentral
AGUGAACGCUGGCGGUAGGCCUAACACAUGCAAGUCGAACGGCAGCACAGUAAGAGCUUGCUCUGACGGGUGGCGAGUGGCGGACGGGUGAGGAAUACAUCGGAAUCUACUUUUUCGGGGGGGAUAACGUAGGGAAACUUACGCUAAUACCGCAUACGACCUACGGGGGAAAGCAUGGGAUCUUCGGACCUUUCGCGAUUGAAUGAGCCGAUGUCGGAUUAGCUAGUUGGCGGGGUAAAGGCCCACCAAGGCGACGAUCCGUAGCUGGUCUGAGAGGAUGAUCAGCCACACUGGAACUGAGACACGGUCCAGACUCCUACGGGAGGCAGCAGUGGGGAAUAUUGGACAAUGGGCGCAAGCCUGAUACAGCCAUACCGCGUGGGUGAAGAAGGCCUUCGGGUUGUAAAGCCCUUUUGUUGGGAAAGAAAAGCAGCAGGUUAAUACCCCGCUGUUCUGACGGUACCCAAAGAAUAAGCACCGGCUAACUUCGUG